AGCAGGCUCCUGGGAAAGGAUCGGCAAAGACCUCCUCCACCCCCAGCGCCCAAGCGCCUGCAGGUGCCUCCCUUGUUGGUAGUUUGUUACUCAGGUAGUAAACUGCAGCAUAAUGAACAGAGCAAAGAGGAAGUGCCUGGGAGAGCUGCGCUGAAGCCUAGCACCUGCCUUUUCUCACCCGCCAGCAAGUUACACUUAGUGAACUGGAUUUUCCUGAACUGUUCAAGCAAUGGUAA
Molecule: non-coding RNA, 236 nt
Organism: Struthio camelus australis
Lineage: Eukaryota; Metazoa; Chordata; Aves; Struthioniformes; Struthionidae
Source: RefSeq, a predicted model, not a curated record